CAAAGACGAGUGACCACGACGUCGCGUAAUCCCACGGCGACCCGAGAUGCCGACGAGAAAUUUCAGCUAGUGCCCGCUGGGACCUUGCUCUGAGAUGCCGCACGCGGAUACCCCCGUGACGUCAAAGCUUCAACGCCGUUCCUCACGACCAGAGUGCCAACACAAGCUGGUUGUUCCCCCGGCAGCACUCGGCGGCCCAAGCACCCACUCCAUCAAUUUACGGUGAACCCACAGAGCGACCAAGGCAAGUCUCAGUGGGAUUUAUAGGGGCCCAGAGUCCAAGCCGAACUCGAAUUUGCCGGUGUGAUUUCCGGUGAUCUUGGCCUGGUUCGUUGCAACAGACCCGCACGGCGCGCGAGGAGUUCGGGAGGAAGAGGUCCGGCCACGUGAGGAAGAUGGAGACGGUCCGACAGAUGGGCCCCACGCAGCAGUGGAACCACCGCGAUUC
RNAcentral lists this long non-coding RNA (448 nucleotides) under Zea mays. RNAcentral describes it as "long non-coding RNA NONZMAT000209". Lineage: Eukaryota; Viridiplantae; Streptophyta; Magnoliopsida; Poales; Poaceae. The record is from RNAcentral.